Molecule: non-coding RNA, 1246 nt
Organism: Misgurnus anguillicaudatus (oriental weatherfish)
Lineage: Eukaryota; Metazoa; Chordata; Actinopteri; Cypriniformes; Cobitidae
Source: RefSeq, a predicted model, not a curated record
AUGAGAUUAAAUGGUUCCGUCGGUUGUCGUGUGUCAGGCAUCGGCUGGGCAUCACGUUGAAAGACGGCCAGUAGAUCAGUGGUGUGUUUACCUCCACGGUGCCGGAACUGGGUCUGUUUGUCUCAAUGUUUUGGGUUCAAGGAUGAGACAGGGAGAGAGAAACAAAAUCCUAUUAGCGUAGGGGACGUUUGCAUGUAAUGCAAGUGUCACAUAGUGUUGUGUUUUAAUAUAUGCUUGGUUCCAGACAGGCUAGCUAUUGCGGCAUUAGUAUAUUACCCAGACGAGGUAUGUGAGUGCUUUGUUCCGUACAGGCUAACUAUUGCGAGACAUUUACUAGACAAAUUAUGUGAAUGCUUUGUUAAAAAAAAGUCUUAAGUUUAGAUUUAAAGUGACUAACAGCUUGCACCAGCGCAAACCAUCAUUUUGGUGUUAAAUAAUUAUGUCAGGAUUUACUAAAGUGGAAAUUUAGUGCUGAAAAGGUGUGGUCUAGUUAUUUUUGCGACUGACCUUAUUGCAAAUGUGACAUCAAUACAAUAUGGCUGAUGAGAAUAAUAAAGCACCAAAUACCAAAAAGAUUAGGUAAAAAGAGUUUUUUUGUUUCCUAAUGAUUAAACUAUGCAUUUAAACUGUAAAUAGAAAAAAACAUUUCCAAACCAGACAAACCUAAAGAUGUUUUUAAAGAUGAACAUUAUCUAUUGCAGAAAAUCAAACGAAUACCUGUGACAAAAAUUUUACAAUUGAAAUGGAAACAUUUCACAAUAACACCAUGCCAAAUGCAUCAAACUACAACAGGUAAUGCCAACUGUUUUUAAAUAUGUUUGAUCCUGGUGUUGACUUGUUUUAAUCCACAUUGACAUCAUCAUUAUGCAGGGAUGAGAAAGAAAUCAUAAACAACAUUAUAAACUGUGCAGAGAAACCUGUGAACGACAAACCUGGGAAUCUUGCCAUAGUUGUGGUUAUGAUAAAUGUAAGCAUGGUGGCAGAUGGUUAUAUGCCAAUCAACACUUCAAAGCUAUUUAAUGAUCCAAAAGCACCAUAUAUAUGGAUCCCAAUGGAGCCUUUCCUAAAUGUCUCAGAAGCGGAGCCCAAAGUUGGUGUAGUUGUCUACAAUUCUGAUGAGCAAUUCACUCUUGGACUGGGAAAUGCAAUCAUAACAUCUGAAGUUGUCCGGAUUGAAGUUCCUGGCCGUGCCAUUGUGAAUUUGACCGAUCAACUUAUAAUACAGUUCCCAGUCAAAAAGACAAAU